Molecule: long non-coding RNA, 298 nt
Organism: Brienomyrus brachyistius
Lineage: Eukaryota; Metazoa; Chordata; Actinopteri; Osteoglossiformes; Mormyridae
Exons: 3
Source: RefSeq, a predicted model, not a curated record
AUGGGGAGGAAGAAGUCAACCUGAUCGGGGCCACUGAAAAUACAGAAGGUCACCACCUCAAGCCCAGCGCUGACAUAUCUGCACAUGCUUGAGAAAGGCCCUUAACCCCCAGCUCCAUGGAUACCACAACCAGUAGCUGCCCUUCACAGUCAACUUGCUCCAGCUACAGAGAAUCCUGUAUUGACAAGUGAGUUGAACCUCCAUAAAGCCUCCUUCAGCUCAUCCCAAAGACCUUCAAUGAGGUUAAAGUCACAACUCUGUGGUGACCAAGUCAUCCGUGAAAAUGAUUCCUCUUGCU